AAAAAGGCAAGCUCUGGCUUUCCGUGUCCAACUUUGACUGUUCGUCUUAUAUAAAAAAUUUUUUGUAAUUCGUACUUUCGUUGUUGUUAGAUGAUAAAACAUGAUUAAUAUUUUAUGCGUGACUUGUCUUUUUAAUUUUUUUCAUAAUUUUUUCAAAUAAAACGGACUGUCAAACGUUGGACACGAAACCAGGGUUUGUCUUUUU
This is a non-coding RNA of Oryza glaberrima (African rice), 205 nucleotides long. The record is from Rfam. NCBI's taxonomy places the organism in Eukaryota, Viridiplantae, Streptophyta, Magnoliopsida, Poales, Poaceae.